ACACCUCAACUCUCACGGCUUGUCCGUGAUGAGCUUGGACUUUGGGGGGCUUUGCCGGCCUGUGGUCGGCUCCUCUCAAAUGGAUCAGCUUGCCAGUGUUUGGUGGCAUCACAGGUGUGAUAACUAUCUGCGCUUGUGGUUUUCCAUCAGAUAACCUUCAGUGAUAUGGAGGUUCGCUGGAGCUCACAAAUGUCUCUCCUUAGUGAGGACAGCUCUUUGAA
This 221-nucleotide unclassified non-coding RNA is filed under the name uncultured Thelephoraceae. Its description in RNAcentral is "sequence contains ITS2". The record is from RNAcentral. Lineage: Eukaryota; Fungi; Basidiomycota; Agaricomycetes; Thelephorales; Thelephoraceae.